AAAGGAGAGCGGCCGGUGCCAAGUCCGGCCCGCCGAGCACGGCGCGGCGCGGUGCGAGCGCCGCCGGGGCUGAGCCGCCCGCCCCAGGCCGGCUCUCCGCAGAGCCAGGCACAGAAAAUGGGUAAUAACUGAAGAUGACCUCACAGCAGGAAAGUGAGAUGACAUUGGCAAUGCAUCAGUGAGUGGCAUGAUUGAAGAUGACAAAAAGCAGGCUACAGCAAAAGAAGAGUAACAUGACUGUGGGAGAGUGGUCUCUAAACUACCAGGACAAAGCAAGGAAGCCUUUAUUGGGACUAUCUUGAAAUUCCACAAAGAAGUCCUGUCACCUCCCAUCUUUGUCUAUGAAGUUAUUAGCUGUGUCUCCUACCCUACUUCUACAAACAUCUUUACCUAGAGGAAGCAACAGAAAUGUAAUUAAAUCAUCAUUUGCCAUGGUUUAUACUAGCAACACUACUGGUUGAGUUGUGUCUUUCACAGUAAACCUGUAAACCAGAAAAAGGCCAAAGAACUUGCACUUAGAAUCAGAAAAAUCGCUUUCCACAGAAGUAGGUGAUUUGGUCCAUCAGGAAACAAGUGUGGCUUUGGUCUUUCCAUUCCACUUUCUAUUGUGAUCUCUGCCAGUGACAGAGAAGUUUAUGACAGCGAUGGUACAUUGCUAUGGGCACGUCACUCACGCAUUAACCAUUUCAGAACCUAAUUCAGAUGCAUGAAAUCCCAUUUUCUGCUAAAUUAUCAGCAACCACUAAUAUAACCAAGAGUUUAAACUUAUGUAAAAUUUACCCAUUUUUACCCAGAGGCUAGUAAGCAUAUAUUUACUGACCUCAGUCAGUACCUGGCCUUCCAGAGUGGAUUGUAACACCCUUAUAGCCUUUCUUUAUCUGGCUUUAUAGGUUUUUGUCUGCCUCUGUAUUAUUAUACUUAUUUUCCAUCCUUUAAUGCCACAUGUCAUUUUGGGUUUUUUAACAUUCUUAGAGUAAUUUGAGAGACUUUACCUUUAUCCUUUACCACCUUUUUUUUUCUGCCUGCUCCUAAAAGCAGAAGAGUCCCAGGUUUCAUGACACAAUAUGUUUAAUUUCACACACAUGACAUUGCAGUACAGCUGCUCAUAAUGAACUAAAAAGUAUGACCACUUACCUUUGUCACUGGCUCAUCUCAAUUGAUAAAAGCUGAGAGUCUUCAUUGUAUGAGUCAGGGAAGUCUAGAGAGAUGUGAACUGCAUACUUGUUGCUUCUCACAGGUUGCCCAUGGGAAUAGCACUCGUCUCUGUAGAAUAAAAAUCUGUGUUAUAGAAAUUACUCUCUCCAACAGCCUUGUUAAGUGAUGCACAGUUCUAAUACUUUGGGCUUCAAAUUAUGAUAUGUUGUAUUUGAGCUUUAUAUGUUGCAAAAACUGUGAGGAAGAACCAGUACAAACACUUGUCCUCUCAUGUCUUAGAGUCAGUAGCAGAAUAACAGUUUGUGAACAAGACAAUAAUACUCUGGGGCUCAGUUCUGCGAGCCAUAAGUAGCUGUUACUCUCCAGGUCCCAAAACAUUACUUACACCAUAACUCUGAUCAUCAAAUGAUAAAUGAAAAUUAAAAAAAGAAUGAAAUGAAAAAAAGAUCUAGGAACUCUUUCAGUGUUGGAUAGACAAAGACAUUCACUGCAGCAAGAAAUAAGAGACCAAGAGUACUCAAAACAGCAUGUAAAAUGUUUUGCAACCCCUUAUUAAGCUCUGCAUGCAUGAAAUCACAGUGAUAUAACACAGUGUUUCUCCUACAAGCUGGGAAGGAAUAGUUGUUAUUGCCAUUUUCAUACACUUAAGGAGGCACCCACAAGCUUCAGUGAAGACGACCUCAUAACCUUAAAAGACAGGUUAAUAGGCACACGAAAUAUCCAGCAAGUAAUGAUUUUGUAUAUGAUCUGAAUGGAGGUAAGAUACUUCACACGUACCUGAUCU
RNA transcript from Colius striatus (speckled mousebird), 1939 nucleotides. It is a transcript of the gene named angiotensin II receptor type 1, with no coding region annotated. The record is from RefSeq and is a predicted model, not a curated record. Lineage: Eukaryota; Metazoa; Chordata; Aves; Coliiformes; Coliidae. The transcript has 3 exons.